RNAcentral lists this ribosomal RNA (443 nucleotides) under Salmonella enterica subsp. enterica serovar Agona. Its description in RNAcentral is "bacterial SSU rRNA". It matches the Rfam family "Bacterial small subunit ribosomal RNA", at positions 1072 to 1515 of the family's 1533-position model. The record is from RNAcentral. Lineage: Bacteria; Pseudomonadati; Pseudomonadota; Gammaproteobacteria; Enterobacterales; Enterobacteriaceae.
AUGUUGGGUUAAGUCCCGCAACGAGCGCAACCCUUAUCCUUUGUUGCCAGCGGUUAGGCCGGGAACUCAAAGGAGACUGCCAGUGAUAAACUGGAGGAAGGUGGGGAUGACGUCAAGUCAUCAUGGCCCUUACGACCAGGGCUACACACGUGCUACAAUGGCGCAUACAAAGAGAAGCGACCUCGCGAGAGCAAGCGGACCUCAUAAAGUGCGUCGUAGUCCGGAUUGGAGUCUGCAACUCGACUCCAUGAAGUCGGAAUCGCUAGUAAUCGUGGAUCAGAAUGCCACGGUGAAUACGUUCCCGGGCCUUGUACACACCGCCCGUCACACCAUGGGAGUGGGUUGCAAAAGAAGUAGGUAGCUUAACCUUCGGGAGGGCGCUUACCACUUUGUGAUUCAUGACUGGGGUGAAGUCGUAACAAGGUAACCGUAGGGGAACCUGC